UGUUAUAAAUUGUAUGCCAUGUCUGAGGUUUUUCUUUCUUCUCUCUCAUUGUGGUGUUCAUAGCACAAGAGAUUGUGUGUCCUGAAGGCUGGACAAGGUUCCAGGGCCGCUGUUACUACUACAACACUGAAGCACUCACCUGGCCUGAAGCUGAUGCUAACUGUGCUGGUCUCGAGGCCAGCCUGGUCUCCAUCCACAGCCCCCAGGAGUAUACCUUCCUCUUUCAGCAAGUCCCUGUUAAUGGCAUUUCUGCGACUUGGCUGGGAGGUUUCUACCUUGAGGGCGAGUGGAUGUGGCUUGAUGGUUCCUGGUUUUAUCAGGGAUUUUUUGCCGAGCCUUCUCCAUACAACACCAA
Molecule: long non-coding RNA, 355 nt
Filed under: Mastacembelus armatus (zig-zag eel)
Lineage: Eukaryota; Metazoa; Chordata; Actinopteri; Synbranchiformes; Mastacembelidae
Description: lncRNA (ENSMAMG00000028701.1)
Source: RNAcentral